RNAcentral lists this ribosomal RNA (356 nucleotides) under uncultured bacterium. RNAcentral describes it as "bacterial SSU rRNA". It matches the Rfam family "Bacterial small subunit ribosomal RNA", at positions 8 to 366 of the family's 1533-position model. The record is from RNAcentral.
AGAGUUUGAUUCCGGCUCAGGACGAACGCUGGCGGCGCGCUUAACACAUGCAAGUCGAACGUGAAGCCCGGGCUUGCCCGGGUGGAAAGUGGCGAACGGGUGCGCAACACGUGAGCAACCUGCCCCNAAGACCGGGAUAACACCGGGAAACCGGUGCUAAUACCUGAUGCCCUCAUCAUGUCGCAUGGCGAGAUGAGGAAAUGGAUUCCGCUUCNGGAUGGGCUUUCGGCCUAUCAGCUUGUUGGUGGGGUAACNUUUUACCAAUUCUACUACGGGUACUGGUCUGAGAGGAUGUUAGCCACANUGGGACUGUUACACGGUCCAACUCCUUCUGGAUGCACCAGUGGGGANUCUUG